CCUACGGGAGGCAGCAGUCGAGAAUCAUUCACAAUGGGGGAAACCCUGAUGGUGCGACGCCGCGUGGGGGAAUGAAGGUCUUCGGAUUGUAAACCCCUGUCAUGUGGGAGCAAAUUAAAAAGAUAGUACCACACGAGGAAGAGACGGCUAACUCUGUGCCAGCAGCCGCGGUAAUACAGAGGUCUCAAGCGUUGUUCGGAAUCACUGGGCGUAAAGCGUGCGUAGGCUGUUUCGUAAGUCGUGUGUGAAAGGCGCGGGCUCAACCCGCGGACGGCACAUGAUACUGCGAGACUAGAGUAAUGGAGGGGGAACCGGAAUUCUCGGUGUAGCAGUGAAAUGCGUAGAUAUCGAGAGGAACACUCGUGGCGAAGGCGGGUUCCUGGACAUUAACUGACGCUGAGGCACAAAGGCCAGGGGAGCGAAAGGGAUUAGAUACCCCUGUAGUC
Molecule: ribosomal RNA, 446 nt
Filed under: uncultured bacterium
Lineage: Bacteria
Description: partial 16S ribosomal RNA
Rfam family: Bacterial small subunit ribosomal RNA
Source: RNAcentral